Molecule: long non-coding RNA, 513 nt
Organism: Xenopus tropicalis (tropical clawed frog)
Lineage: Eukaryota; Metazoa; Chordata; Amphibia; Anura; Pipidae
Exons: 3
Source: RefSeq, a predicted model, not a curated record
ACUCUGCCUGACCCGACCUCUGCCUGUUUUACAGAUUUGCCAGAACUCUGCCUGACCCGACCUCUGCCUGUUUUACAGAUUUGCCAGAACUCUACUUAUCCUGUCAUCAGCUGAUUUCGCACUCUAUAGCCCAUAUUCUCCUCUAUAUUGACUAUGUAUAGUGAAGCCUUCCUGCAUCUUGGCUUUAGUCUGAAUGUUCUAAAAGGGCAAUGGAAGAAUGUGGAAGGUCUGAGAGGCUGUAACGGAGGCAAAAAGUGGAGACCAACCUGCCCCACUGAGCACUUGUGACAUUCAGAUGGUGCCAGCCAGACAUCUCGGAGGUGCAGGAAGCCGAUAGCCAAUCAGAAGGAGACUUCAUUAAUCAAGUUCAUUAUCCAACCUUUCCAUUAAAGAUUGGGAAGAGCCCCACACAAGGUUUCACUUUUCAUCUUUUUCUUAGUUCCAUUAUAAUUGGAAAGGCCACUAUUGGAAUGAAGCCAAUUACAACAGCAAUAAAAAAUGCAAAUUAUUCAU